UGGGGAAUAUUGGACAAUGGGCGAAAGCCUGAUCCAGCCAUGCCGCGUGUGUGAAGAAGGUCUUCGGAUUGUAAAGCACUUUAAGUUGGGAGGAAGGGCAGUAAGCGAAUACCUUGCUGUUUUGACGUUACCGACAGAAUAAGCACCGGCUAACUCUGUGCCAGCAGCCGCGGUAAUACAGAGGGUGCAAGCGUUAAUCGGAAUUACUGGGCGUAAAGCGCGCGUAGGUGGUUCGUUAAGUUGAAUGUGAAAGCCCCGGGCUCAACCUGGGAACUGCAUCCAAAACUGGCGAGCUAGAGUAGGGCAGGGGGUGGUGGAAUUUCCUGUGUAGCGGUGAAAUGCGUAGAUAUAGGUAGGAACUCCAGUGGCGAAGGCGACCACCUGGGCUCAUACUGACACUGAGGUGCGAAAGCGUGGGGAGCAAACAGG
RNAcentral lists this ribosomal RNA (429 nucleotides) under Pseudomonadota bacterium. Its description in RNAcentral is "Proteobacteria bacterium partial 16S ribosomal RNA". It matches the Rfam family "Bacterial small subunit ribosomal RNA", at positions 355 to 776 of the family's 1533-position model. Lineage: Bacteria; Pseudomonadati; Pseudomonadota. The record is from RNAcentral.